GACGAACGCUGGCGGCGUGCCUAAUACAUGCAAGUUGAGCGAUGAAGAUUGGUGCUUGCACCAAUUUGAAGAGCAGCGAACGGGUGAGUAACGCGUGGGGAAUCUGCCUUUGAGCGGGGGACAACAUUUGGAAACGAAUGCUAAUACCGCAUAACAACUUUAAACAUAAGUUUUAAGUUUGAAAGAUGCAAUUGCAUCACUCAAAGAUGAUCCCGCGUUGUAUUAGCUAGUUGGUGAGGUAAAGGCUCACCAAGGCGAUGAUACAUAGCCGACCUGAGAGGGUGAUCGGCCACAUUGGGACUGAGACACGGCCCAAACUCCUACGGGCGGCAGCAGUAGGGAAUCUUCGGCAAUAGACGAAAGUCUGACCGAGCAACGCCGCGUGAGUGAAGAAGGUUUUCGGAUCGUAAAACUCUGUUGGUAGAGAAGAACGUUGGUGAGAGUGGAAAGCUCAUCAAGUGACGGUAACUACCCAGAAAGGGACGGCUAACUACGUG
This 497-nucleotide ribosomal RNA is filed under the name uncultured bacterium. RNAcentral describes it as "partial 16S ribosomal RNA". It matches the Rfam family "Bacterial small subunit ribosomal RNA", at positions 28 to 507 of the family's 1533-position model. The record is from RNAcentral.